GUGCCAACAGCAGGUGGCAUCCUUAGACCCACCCCCACCCCCAGAGUAUCAUCAUCCACUGAGGAGAGGAAAGGUGCCAACGAGCUAUUAUUGUUACUUAUUGGAUGCUAUAAUGGUACCUCAGGGCAUUGCUUGUGUCUUUUGCCCAUGUAGAAAAGCUCAGCCUUUGACAGGGUUUCAGAGGCUAAACAAAACAGCAAUUUUACACCCAAAUUUUGCUUUGAUUUGAGUAACCACCCAGCCAAGAGACUCUUCUCUACUUGGAUGUCAUGGAGAAGUUAAAGAGGAGGAGUCUGCCCUCAUGUUCUCUUUAGUUUCCCAUUAGAGCAGGUCUGUAGGGUAUGGCUGCCUUCUGAUGCUUCUCUGUUUGUUGUACUCUGCUUUCCUGUACCUCUGCACCGGACAGAACUUUUAUGAAUCAACAAGAUGAUGCUUUCCACAGAGACCUCUCCCCUUCAGGAUAAAAUGAGCCUUUGCUUCCAACAACCAGAGGAGACGAUUGGAAAUGAAGAAACUGGAGCUCUGACGCUGUGGAGAAGCUUCUAAAUGCUGUCUGAGCUGAGAGGAGAACAAGACAUAGGCUGGAGCCAUUAAGGAAGCCUUCUUUGGACAAGUGGGAUUUCACUUAAGCCUUAAACAAUGAAGUCGGGUCUGUAUAGAAAGUGAGGCAGAGAAAAAGAAAAAAAGAAAAAGAAGGGGGGGGGGCAUCACAAGUGAAACCAACAGGUAGGACUU
This 735-nucleotide long non-coding RNA is filed under the name Monodelphis domestica (gray short-tailed opossum). RNAcentral's name for it is "lncRNA (ENSMODG00000040238.1)". Lineage: Eukaryota; Metazoa; Chordata; Mammalia; Didelphimorphia; Didelphidae. The record is from RNAcentral.